CCAAUGAUUCUUUCUAUCAGGAGAUUCCAAAUUUGCUACCAUUUAUCUUUGACUAAUAGUGGUGUAAGUUUUCUUUAGAUCUGUAAAAUGCUUUAUGUUGUUGUCCUUACCAGAACUGAACAUUAGCUUCAAGUUAUCAAAUUAUUGUGGCCUAUAAAAUACCAUUCUAGCUCAUACAUGUUUAGACAGCGAUUAGGUGAGAAUUUUGUACAUGUUUAUUAAAUUUGCACACAUCAUUUAUAUAAAUGUAUAAACAUCACUGCUCACCAUGUGACGGACAAGCUGGAGCAUUAUGUGCACGUAACCAUUCCCAGUGACCUGUGAUAAUUCAAAGAAAAAAUACUACUACGAAUUCACAACUGAUGGUUGUUCCCAUAUUUUCCACUAUCAGGAGUGCUGAUUGGAGCUUCACCCCCUGUUUCACCUAUUGCAAGAGAGGUGCCAUCACAGAGACCCAUACCUACAGGAACAUCACAUGCAGCAUCAGAGGGAAGAACCAUGCAUGUAUCUAUGCCAAAGCUUAGUGAGCUGGAAAUCUCUGCAACAAGUACUCCUGCUUCCAAAAGGUCAUCCAUUGGAAGCGGUGGUCCCUCCCCAGGCAUCAAUCAACAUGACUGGAAAACUCCCCUUAAGAAUUCACCAGAGAAGGAGCAGUUCUUUGCACUCAAGGCCCACAUCUCAACCUGAUAUCGUAACUGGAUUCAUCCCUAGAGCUUGAUGUCCAUGCUGCUCUCUAUGAUCUCAUCUCUCAUCCCAUCUCUCAUGCGGCCCCUGUUUCAUAAAACUUGUUGUCAAUAACGAGGUACGAUAAAAGCUACUGAAAUCCUUCCAUUUGAUCGGCUAGGAUCACACUCGUGAUAGAGCUGUGACAGUUAUUGAUAACAAGUUUUACGAAGCAGGGCUCUGGGUCAUCAUCCAAAAUCGGUUGAUUUACAGUCAUUUGUUCAGGAUUUGAACUAUACAGCUUGGUGGCUGCAACACAGGUUUUGAACGGAUAUACCUUUAUAAUUUAUAAUAACUCACUCAAUUUUGACCAACCAUCCAGGUAACAUUACACAAUUAAUCCCAUUUUACUAUGCAGUGGAAGGUUUUUAUUUUGCAAUUACUUUCAAAAGUUGCAUGACAAGGUUAUGUCACUAUCUGGGGCAGUUGCAUGGCAUUGUGGAAUGUGAUAGACUACCGGUAACUCCAUCCUCAGAAAAAGAGGGGAUAUGGGAGGGUGAAAAAAGAGAAAAGAAGUAAGAUUUUUCUUUUCUUUUUAGAUACUGAAGUUAUUUCUUAACUUUCCGUAAUUUUGUUGUAACCCCCAUGUAAUGAUUACCCUUUGCACUUGUAAGUAAAAGUUGUGUAGUUGAUGUAUCCA
This is a long non-coding RNA of Strongylocentrotus purpuratus (purple sea urchin), 1363 nucleotides long. RefSeq lists it as uncharacterized. The transcript has 3 exons. The record is from RefSeq and is a predicted model, not a curated record. Lineage: Eukaryota; Metazoa; Echinodermata; Echinoidea; Camarodonta; Strongylocentrotidae.